UACGGGGGGGGCAAGCGUUGUUCGGAAUUACUGGGCGUAAAGGGCUCGUAGGCGGCCAACUAAGUCAGACGUGAAAUCCCUCGGCUUAACCGGGGAACUGCGUCUGAUACUGGAUGGCUUGAAUCCGGGAGAGGGAUGCGGAAUUCCAGGUGUAGCGGUGAAAUGCGUAGAUAUCUGGAGGAACACCGGUGGCGAAGGCGGCAUCCUGGACUGGCAUUGACGCUGAGGAGCGAAAGCCAGGGGAGCAAACGGG
RNAcentral lists this ribosomal RNA (253 nucleotides) under uncultured bacterium. RNAcentral's name for it is "partial 16S ribosomal RNA". It matches the Rfam family "Bacterial small subunit ribosomal RNA", at positions 524 to 776 of the family's 1533-position model. The record is from RNAcentral.